This 333-nucleotide long non-coding RNA is filed under the name Myripristis murdjan (pinecone soldierfish). RNAcentral describes it as "lncRNA (ENSMMDG00005011035.1)". The record is from RNAcentral. Lineage: Eukaryota; Metazoa; Chordata; Actinopteri; Holocentriformes; Holocentridae.
UGUGUUAAUUUUAUACCAGUGCUUGUGCUAAUUCAUGUUCUCCUCUGUAGGUCAGAGGUGAAACAGAGACUGUGGAUGUGACAGAGCAGGAUGGGAGUCAUACCAACACAGCUCCAGACCCCACCUGGCUGGAAAGCAAGCAAGAGGCGGUUGUGAAAGCAGAGAUACAGCAAUAUUAUGACACAAAGAAAAACUUGGAGGAAAAAGUCAAAGAAUUACGUAACACUAUCCAGGAAAUGAUGCGUGAAAAUGAGAACCUCCCAGAUGCUGAGCGUCUGGAACAACAGCAAUUCAAUCUAAAUGUGGAGGAACAGAGGAGGUCAGAGAUGAAGG